CCUAUCCCUCAGUCAGCCAUUAGCCAGAGUCACGUUACUUUUAGGUCUUUUCGUCGGGUAUCAGAUGUACUGGAGUUCGACGUAGACGGUCUUUUCGGUAUCACUGGAAAGAAUAAUUUCUACAGUGUCUCGUAGAACUAUAUCUUAUCCGUGUCCGUAUCGUUCCCUGUUACCGACGGUUUCCCAGCCUAUGUGCAGUUAAAGGGGUACUUUGUUACAUGGAGAUCACGACAACACUUAGAAUGUCACAUUCAGGACAUCUGCUGGUCUUAUACCAACCGUACAAGCCAGUUACCAUGAACACUCUGUCUAGAUGGGUUCAUUGGUUGUUAUCGCUAGCGAGGGUGGAGACGUGUUUGGGUACUCAUUCGGUAAGAGGCGCGGCUGCUUCUCAGGCCUUCGCGAGGGGCCUCUAUAUUUUCAGCGAUGAAUUGGACACGGAUAGACUACUUCCGUAUAUUUAUUUUCGUCAACCACACACGCAUCCUUCUCGCUCAUACCACAGCUUUAAAAAUGCAAAAUAUGAAGCCUCCUGUCAUGUGAUAAAA
This is a non-coding RNA of Pelobates cultripes (western spadefoot toad), 548 nucleotides long. NCBI's taxonomy places the organism in Eukaryota, Metazoa, Chordata, Amphibia, Anura, Pelobatidae. The record is from the annotation of a GenBank genome assembly.